UGGUGGUGCCCGGCUUGGC
Molecule: unclassified non-coding RNA, 19 nt
Filed under: Mus musculus (house mouse)
Lineage: Eukaryota; Metazoa; Chordata; Mammalia; Rodentia; Muridae
Description: oocyte_clustered_small_RNA7941
Source: RNAcentral